Molecule: long non-coding RNA, 2269 nt
Filed under: Capsella rubella
Lineage: Eukaryota; Viridiplantae; Streptophyta; Magnoliopsida; Brassicales; Brassicaceae
Description: long non-coding RNA (CRUB_LNC002535)
Source: RNAcentral
GCAUCAUGUUGAGGAUCUGACCAUGGAUCAAGCCGAGGAUCACAUUGAGGACCUGACUGUUGAUCCAGGUGCGUAUCAUUUCCAAGACCUCACUGCGGAUCCUGUCGAGCAGAACGUUGAGCAACCAGCAGUGGCUCCUCCUGUCCCGCCUGCACCAGGUGCUUAUACAAGCGAGUCCAUGACUCAAUACCUGGAUUGCUAUUUUCAGUAAGGUACCACUCCAAACCUUCAUUUGUAUAUACCAUUGCAUUUUCAUACUUUUCUUUGUUUGAUUCUCAAACCAACUCUCAAAUUUUUAUUACACAAGAGACUGUGUAAUUUAAGUUUGGGGGAGGGUUUGGGAUGACAUUUGAUGUUGUGUUCUCUUUUCUUAUUUUGAAUUUUUAGCAUAUAAUUUGCAUUCAUAUAUGUGCAUUGAAAACCCCUAAAAAUUUGAAAAAUUUUCAGAAAAAAAUCUUUAAAAACAGAGUGAUCNNNNNNNNNNNNNNNNNNNNNNNNNNNNNNNNNNNNNNNNNNNNNNNNNNNNNNNNNNNNNNNNNNNNNNNNNNNNNNNNNNNNNNNNNNNNNNNNNNNNGUCUAGAUUGUUUCAUGUAGGACUGUUGCAUUAGCAUAGGGGGCGAUGAUGAGUUACACCUUGUUGAUUUGCUAGGAUUCACCAGUUGAGAUCAAUGCCCUGGUUGUUAGCUUUUUGAUGCAUGAUGAUUGAACUUGAAGUAAGUCUGAAACAAACUUGGAAUUCAUGAAGAGCAUUCUUGAACUUGGUUGAAACAUGUUGUGAUAUGAUCUCAUUCCUUAUCCUAUAAGAACUUAAUCUUGACUUGCAAAUAUCUGGUUGUGUUUUGCUUGCAUGCUCAUGGUCACCAUAUACAUAUUUGGAUCAUCUUCCUCCUUUCACCACUCUUGUUGAUCCAAGUAGCUGAUCUUUCUUUUGAUCAGUUUGCCACACCCACAGCCUAUCCUUUUCUUUCAAGCCAAUUGAUAAUUUUUGAGUGGUAGGUCUUUUACCGGAUUAUGCUUGGGGAGAACGUGUUAGGUAUGAGCUGACAGGAUUAAAAUCUUGAGUAGUUCUGAUUUUCAGUUUCAAAUCAGAUAGGAAUAGGUUGGGAUUCUUACUUGGGUUUGGGAUUGGGAUGAUUGUGGAAAGAAAGAAGAGAAACAGAAAAAGUUGUGUCCUUAGGAGGAGAAUGUUUUCUAGAAGUUUAUAAUCUAGUGAUUAUUUUUGCGGGGUUAGCAUGAUAUACGGAGAAUGGUUCUAGGAUGUUAAGAAAGUGAAAAAGUUUUGAUGUUUUAUAACGUAAGAAGAAAACAGAACCAUAGUUAAGAAGAAAUCCCCUAUCCACUAGUAUUGAUAAGAAACUUCUCCUAAGGCAAAAAGCAAAAAGAAAAAAAUGGGAUUGAUGUUGAAGGGUAGACAUAGGGAUCAUCCGGGUUUAGAUGAUUAGGAGUAAGCACUUGGGAACCAUUGGGUAGUCAAGGUUUUAUUCCUGUAUGCAUUUGUUGGUCCUUACCUUUAGCAUUCUCCCUAAAGCUCAAUCCAUUCAUUGAGAGAUCCUUGUCCUGAAAUUGUUUAAACCCUCAUGAUUCUCAAAACCUUUUUCUGCCUAGCCAAGUGAGUUUGUUAAGCCUUGCACAACCAGAUUCAUAUACUUGAGUAAUGAAUGUUAAAAGGAAUGAAUGAUUUGAAUGCAUGUGUAGAUCAAGGGAUAGAAUCAGUUUCGGAUUUGAUGAGUUUGUCUAAAAUCGUUAAGUAAAGUUCUCUCAGCAUGCAUCAAAGACUUAGCAACCAGGACAUUGAUUUUAACUGCUCUAUCUUGCAAGUUACAGGUUCUGAGACCCCAUUUUCAAACCUCUCUUCCACUUUGUUUCUUUUUGCUUUGCUUGAGGGCAAGCAAAGACUAAGUUUGGGGGAGUUGAUAAGUCUGUAUUUCAUUGCUUUUUGAGUAUGCAUUCAUCAUCUAUUCAGCAUCAUUCACUUGUUGAUUCGCAUCAUAUUGAUCCCUUUCUGCAUGUUUUACAUACUUAGGUAGGUUUUAUGCAUAUCAUGCAUAUCAUACAUAUCUUGCAUACAAUGUGCAUAUUUGGAGUGUCUCAGGUACUUAGGAGACAUGCAGAGCGAAGCAGAGGAACAAGCGUUACUCGACAUGCACACGAUCGAGUGGGAGGAUCGAGUGAGAAGCAAGGAUGAAUUGCAGUUACAUCGACUAUCGAGUGAGCAGCAGACGUAUACGAUCGAGUAGCGGAUCGAGCAGAAGGGAAGCGAAGCAGAACC